This is a long non-coding RNA of Crotalus tigris (Tiger rattlesnake), 2916 nucleotides long. RefSeq lists it as uncharacterized. The record is from RefSeq and is a predicted model, not a curated record. NCBI's taxonomy places the organism in Eukaryota, Metazoa, Chordata, Lepidosauria, Squamata, Viperidae. The transcript is spliced from 3 exons.
GAUUGUGCGGCUGCCAUCCUGAUUUUUCUGCCACCCCAGCACUUCCUGGGCGAGUCCCUGCUGCCAUUAAUGGUCAUUAAGCAAGUGCAGUUUUGCCCAUUGCUGUCACUUGCCGUAACUCCAAGCCGAUCGCCCUGCACCCAAGUCAUGAGCGUGCAACCCUGGAGAUGCUGCUACAGUCAUAUGUGCGAGGACCCGUGAUACAUCACUCUUUUCAGUGCCAUUGAAACUGUAGGCACAGCGAGGAUCUCCCUCGUUUGGAUGUGUCAGAAGAAAGAGACAGUUCCCAUUAAGGCAGAAUUAGGGGGCGAAACUAGAAAUGUGGGGCUCAGUCCCGGAUCACAGCGGUGCUGAUACCUGCCGUGUUAGCAGCCUCCGUUCCUGUGGACCAACUGCCAAUCCACCAUCUCAAAGCUCAAGGCAAUGAACAUACCGAAGACUCCUUCGUCCCUACAACAACUAGCUUGUGAGACAGGUCAGCAACAGGGAAGAAACGGCCCUAAAGUGAAUAUCCCUGGGCUAUCUCUCAACAGCCAGUGAUGGUUAAGCAGUGAAGAGAUGCCUUUGACCUUCAGACCCAGGAAUUCAAGAGACAAACAACGGAUGAAAGAGCAGCACAGUUGCCUCAAGAAGAUGGUCGAUCAACUAAAGAGCACAACAAAAAAGUGGCAGAAAACUGCUGGAAAAAAGAGAAAGGUUGGAGCGUGCCACCACCAUGAUCCCUCAGCGAGGGCUAAAGAUCAAAUAUUUGGUGAAACACACUGAAGAACUGCACAAAGAACGCUGCAGGUCAGCAGCCAAGCGGCCUUUCUCAAAUAUGAGAAGGCUGCCUUAGAACCUUUGAGAAGAGGUCUCGAAGAAGUCUGGAACCUUCUUAAGAACUGAAGAAGCACCUCUAAAGUCUGCAGCAUGAACAGGUUGAGACGGACCAAAGUUACUAUGCGGAGAAAAGCCACUCCAGCCAACUGAUGCAGAAAGUCAGUCCUCUUCAGCAGAAUGUGAGGGAAAAAAAGAAGCAGGUCAACAAUCUACAGCAGCAACAGCAGCCGCCGCAGAGCUAUACUUCCCAGGCCACAGUUGGAGACCUGUGGAAAGCCGAGGAGGACAACGGAGAAGGACUGAACCAUGUCAAAAUGACAAUGCAAGAAUUACAGCUGCAGACGAGGUGUUUCGAGAAAGACAGUGAAGAUCUCCACAGGGAGGUCCCCAGCCAAGUGGCCUUCUUCAGAAAUGGUUUUUGUACUCCUAAGCGACCAGCACAUGGGACAACUCGCUGACCCUCACUCCCCAUAGCUGGAAUGGAGGAACGGUGGCCUUUUACCCUUUCAAGAAAGAAAAGGAAUUCUUCCCCUCCCUUCCCCUCCCUUCCCCUGACUUGCCACUUAGUGUGCCGGGGAGCCAGGCGAGCCCCCCCCCCACCAGCUGAAGCAACACCUUCACCCUCGCCCUCCCAAUCACUGCAGGGCUGUCAGCUGAGCUGAACACCUCACAGCCACCGAGCAUCAGGGCCUGAGAGGGCUGGGGAAUCCCAGGGCUCCGAGCCAAAAAGGAGCCUGGAGGUGAACUUGGUAGGGUGAGUCCACAGGCUCCUCUCCAAGCCUCAGAGUUCCAGCUGAGGAUGAGGGCCACCAGGGACAGGGUGAGGGCUCUGCGGUGGGCAGAGCAGAAAGUCUGGCCAGAACAGGAUCUGGAACCCACAACCGAGUGGCUGAAUGAGCCGAGCAGCUGGCAUCCCAGCAGCCCACAGGAGAGGAGCAGAGAGGAGAACAGCUAGAAGCCGAACUGGGAGCCGAGGGGUCCGCAGGAGACGCCACGAGGCAGCAGAGACCCCCGGAGGCCGCAAGGCUGACGGAGCUGGUGGCAGAGCUGGAAGACAGGGCUGGGCUGAGGGUCUCGGGGGCAGGCAGACAUUCCUGCUGCUCCAGAGCCUGCAAGAGAGUGGCAACAGAAGGGAGAAGCCGGGGGUGGUCAGUGGCCUGUGGGUGGUCAAGUAGUCUUAGGGGUGGUAGAACAUAAGAGAUUGAUUCAUAGGGCUGGAAGGGACUUUGGAGGUCUUCUACUCCAACCGUCUGCUCAAGGCAGGAACUUUCUGCCAUCCCAGUCAAAUGGUUUGCUUGUCCAUUUUUGAAAACUUCCAGUGAUGGAGCACUCACAACUUCUUACUGUCUGAAAAUUUCUCCUGACUUCUUGGUUGGGUCUCCCUUUCAACGUCCACCCUUGUCUUUUUUCCUGCUCUGCAGUUCUUAAGUCACUCCCUGUCCUUUGAGACAGACCCUAACAGUGUGGAAGACUGCUGUUGUGUCUGCCCGAUCCUUAUCAUCUUCGAUAGGCUACACAUAGCGAACUCCCUGAACCGUUCAUGAAACGAUUUAGCCUCCAGCUCUUAAAUCAUCUUUGUUGCUCUUCUCUUCAAACUUUCUGCAGUCUCAACAAUGUUUUCUAUUGGGCUGACCAGAAUUGGAUACAGUAUUCCAAGGUGGUCUCACCAGUGCGAUAUAAAGCAGUACCAGCACUUCUGGCGAUCUUGAAACUGCCCCUCUUUUAUUGCUGCCUAAGACUGCAUUGGCCUGUGUUGACAGCUGCAGCACACUUCUGGCUGAUCCUUCAGUGGUUUUCCUCUAGAUCCGUCUCACAGUUAUCUCUGCUGAGCCAGGUACCGCUCCUUCUGUGCCUGUGCAAUUGAUUUUCCUGCCUAAAGAAGAACUGUACUUUUCUCACCAAUGAACUGCAUCUUGUUAGAUGGGCCCAAUGUUCACGUCUGUCAAGAUCCUCCUGGAUAUUGAGCCUAUCUUCCAACAAUCUUGAUGUCCUCUGCACAUUUGAUGAGUUCCCCUUCUAUCCCCUCAUCUAGAUCAUUGAUGAAGAUGUGGAAGAGUCCUAGGCCGAAGGCAGAUCCCUGAGGUACCCCACUGAAUG